UACGGGGGGAGCAAGCGUUGUUCGGAUUUACUGGGCGUAAAGGGCGCGUAGGCGGUCAGCACAAGUCAGUUGUGAAAUCUCCGGGCUUAACUCGGAAAGGUCAACUGAUACUGUGCGACUAGAGUGCGGAAGGGGCAACUGGAAUUCUUGGUGUAGCGGUGAAAUGCGUAGAUAUCAGGAGGAACACCGGUGGCGAAGGCGGAUCUCUGGGCCAUUACUGACGCUGAGGAGCGAAAGCGUGGGGAGCGAACAGG
This 254-nucleotide ribosomal RNA is filed under the name uncultured bacterium. RNAcentral describes it as "partial 16S ribosomal RNA". It matches the Rfam family "Bacterial small subunit ribosomal RNA", at positions 524 to 776 of the family's 1533-position model. The record is from RNAcentral.